UUUAUGAACUGGGUAUAGUUGUGUGAAUGGAGUGUUAAGGAUAAUAGGAAUAGAUAGAAUGUUUAAGCAAAUGAUCAUUAGUGGAGAUUUAGGUUUUCCUAAACCCCUAGCUUUGCUAAACUUCAAUUUUUGACAUCAAGCUAAAUACGCACUAUGUGCCUUUUAAAAAAAAAAAAUUUUUUUUUAUUUAUCACUUAUGUACCAUGUGACCUGGUGCAGAGAUGAUAAAAAAAAAUGAUGGAGUUAUCAAUGCAGAAUUACUUGGUGUUGAAUGUGAUCUAAGGAUCGUCAGCCCACUACAGUAUGAUGUAGUAUAACAAAGUCACCAAAUGACGAAAUCCUCAACGGACUGUUAAAUACAGUGCGGCAUCAUGACGUCAUUCUCAAAAAUGUUUUUAUUGAAAGAAAUUUUCCAAACCAAAUUGUUUUGCUGCGGAAUCAAGUAAGACUGAGCAGAAUAACCUUUUAUAUAAAGGGAAUAUUUUAAUUUGAGUAUCUUUGAUAGAUACCCGAGAAAUUUGAGUAUCUUUGAUAGAUACCCGAGAAAUUUGAGUAUCUUUGAUAGAUACCCGAGAAAUUUGAGUAUCUUUGAUAGAUACCCGAGAAAAUAAGUUCAUGAUCUUAUAUGACCCCACAGCAAAAUUUUAAACCUUUUACUCUUGUGAGUGGUGAAUUGGGUAGUAUGUGAUAUGUGUGAAUGGUGUAAGCUAUUUGGUAUACGGUGUAAGGUGUAAGGUGAAUUUCGGGGACGAAAUUCUUAGAAGGAGGGGUGAAUGUGACAACCCGAGAAUUUAG
Molecule: long non-coding RNA, 795 nt
Filed under: Panax ginseng (ginseng)
Lineage: Eukaryota; Viridiplantae; Streptophyta; Magnoliopsida; Apiales; Araliaceae
Description: long non-coding RNA (PGIN_LNC006908)
Source: RNAcentral